AUUGAACGCUGGCGGCAUGCCUUACACAUGCAAGUCGAACGGCAGCACGGGAGCAAUCCUGGUGGCGAGUGGCGAACGGGUGAGUAAUAUAUCGGAACGUGCCCGGUCGUGGGGAUAACGUAGCGAAAGCUACGCUAAUACCGCAUACGAUCUACGGAUGAAAGCGGGGGAUCGCAAGACCUCGCGCGAUUGGAGCGGCCGAUAUCAGAUUAGGUAGUUGGUGAGGUAAAGGCUCACCAAGCCGACGAUCUGUAGCUGGUCUGAGAGGACGACCAGCCACACUGGGACUGAGACACGGCCCAGACUCCUACGGGAGGCAGCAGUGGGGAAUUUUGGACAAUGGGCGCAAGCCUGAUCCAGCAAUGCCGCGUGCAGGAUGAAGGCCUUCGGUUGUAACUGCUUUUGUACGGUAACGAAAGGUUUACGUCUUAAUACGUAGGAGCUCAUGACGGUACCGUAACGAAUAAGACACCGGCUAACUACGU
This 485-nucleotide ribosomal RNA is filed under the name uncultured bacterium. Its description in RNAcentral is "bacterial SSU rRNA". It matches the Rfam family "Bacterial small subunit ribosomal RNA", at positions 30 to 506 of the family's 1533-position model. The record is from RNAcentral.